GACGAACGCUGGCGGCGUGCUUAACACAUGCAAGUCGAACGCUGAAGCACCAGCUUGCUGGUGUGGAUGAGUGGCGAACGGGUGAGUAAUACGUGAGUAACCUGCCCUUGACUCUGGGAUAAGCCCGGGAAACUGGGUCUAAUACUGGAUGCUACAUGUCACCGCAUGGUGGUGUGUGGAAAGGGUUUACUGGUCUUGGAUGGGCUCACGGCCUAUCAGCUUGUUGGUGAGGUAAUGGCUCACCAAGGCGACGACGGGUAGCCGGCCUGAGAGGGUGACCGGCCACACUAGGACUGAGACACGGCCCAGACUCCUACGGGAGGCAGCAGUGGGGAAUAUUGCACAAUGGGCGAAAGCCUGAUGCAGCGACGCCGCGUGAGGGAUGACGGCCUUCGGGUUGUAAACCUCUUUCAGCAGGGAAGAAGCCACAAGUGACGGUACCUGCAGAAGAAGCGCCGGCUAACUACGUG
This 470-nucleotide ribosomal RNA is filed under the name uncultured bacterium. Its description in RNAcentral is "partial 16S ribosomal RNA". It matches the Rfam family "Bacterial small subunit ribosomal RNA", at positions 28 to 507 of the family's 1533-position model. The record is from RNAcentral.